RNAcentral lists this ribosomal RNA (116 nucleotides) under Vanderhorstia sp. 'Komon-yatsushi-haze'. Its description in RNAcentral is "partial 16S ribosomal RNA". The record is from RNAcentral. Lineage: Eukaryota; Metazoa; Chordata; Actinopteri; Gobiiformes; Gobiidae.
UCCCCAAUAGCUAGCCCAACCAGGAAGGCCAACAACCACCAUCAACUAACCCAUUAAAGCACCCACACAAACCAAAACAAACCAUUUUUCCCCCUAAGUAUUGGGAGACAGAAAAG